RNAcentral lists this ribosomal RNA (509 nucleotides) under uncultured bacterium. Its description in RNAcentral is "bacterial SSU rRNA". It matches the Rfam family "Bacterial small subunit ribosomal RNA", at positions 38 to 518 of the family's 1533-position model. The record is from RNAcentral.
CUGGACGGCGUACCUAAUACAUGCAAGUCGAACGCUUUCUUCACCGGAGCUUGCUCCACCGAAAGAAAAGGAGUGGCGAACGGGUGAGUAACACGUGGGUAACCUGCCCAUCAGAAGGGGAUAACACUUGGAAACAGGUGCUAAUACCGUAUAACAAUCGAAACCGCAUGGUUUCGGUUGAAAGGCGCUUUUGCGUCACUGAUGGAUGGACCCGCGGUGCAUUAGCUAGUUGGUGAGGUAACGGCUCACCAAGGCAACGAUGCAUAGCCGACCUGAGAGGGUGAUCGGCCACAUUGGGACUGAGACACGGCCCAAACUCCUACGGGAGGCAGCAGUAGGGAAUCUUCGGCAAUGGACGCAAGUCUGACCGAGCAACGCCGCGUGAGUGAAGUAAAGGUUUUCGGAUCGUAAAACUCUGUUGUUAGAGAAGAACAAGGAUGAGAGUAGAAUGUUCAUCCCUUGACGGUAUCUAACCAGAAAGCCACGGCUAACUACGUGCCAGCCGCUGC